Molecule: ribosomal RNA, 375 nt
Filed under: uncultured organism
Description: partial 16S ribosomal RNA
Rfam family: Bacterial small subunit ribosomal RNA
Source: RNAcentral
GUAGGUGGCGAGCGUUGUCCGGAAUUAUUGGGGCGUAAAGCGCGCGCAGGCGGUCCUUUAAGGUCUGAUGUGAAAGCCCACGGGCUCAACCGUGGAGGGUCAUUGGAAACUGGAGAACUUGAGUACAGAAGAGGAAAGCGGAAUUCCACGUGUAGCGGUGAAAUGCGUAGAGAUGUGGAGGAACACCAGUGGCGAAGGCGGCUUUCUGGUCUGUAACUGACGCUGAGGCGCGAAAGCGUGGGGAGCAAACAGGAUUAGAUACCCUGGUAGUCCACGCCGUAAACGAUGAGUGCUAAGUGUUAGGGGGUUUCCGCCCCUUAGUGCUGCAGCUAACGCAUUAAGCACUCCGCCUGGGGAGUACGGCCGCAAAGGCUG